This 437-nucleotide ribosomal RNA is filed under the name uncultured Clostridium sp. RNAcentral's name for it is "partial 16S ribosomal RNA". It matches the Rfam family "Bacterial small subunit ribosomal RNA", at positions 341 to 792 of the family's 1533-position model. Lineage: Bacteria; Bacillati; Bacillota; Clostridia; Eubacteriales; Clostridiaceae. The record is from RNAcentral.
ACGGGAGGCAGCAGUGGGGGAUAUUGCACCAUGGAGGAAACUCUGAUGCAGCAACGCCGCGUGAAGGAAGAAGGUCUUCGGAUUGUAAACUUCUGUUUUUAGUGAAGAAACAAAUGACGGUAGCUAAAGAGGAAGCCACGGCUAACUACGUGCCAGCAGCCGCGGUAAUACGUAGGUGGCAAGCGUUGUCCGGAUUUACUGGGUGUAAAGGGUGCGCAGGCGGGACUGCAAGUUGGAUGUGAAAUACCGGAGCUUAACUCCGGGGCUGCAUCCAAAACUGUGGUUCUUGAGUGGAGUAGAGGUAAGCGGAAUUCCGAGUGUAGCGGUGAAAUGCGUAGAUAUUCGGAGGAACACCGGUGGCGAAGGCGGCUUACUGGGCUCUAACUGACGCUGAGGCACGAAAGUGUGGGUAGCAAACAGGGUUAAAUACCCUGGUA